UAUCAACGCUGAGGUGUGAUGACGAGCCACUACGGUGGUGAAGUAGUUGAUGCCAAGCUUCCAGGAAAAGCCUCUAAGCAUCAGGUAACAUUAAAUCGUACCCCAAACCGACACAGGUGGUCAGGUAGAGAAUACUCAGGCGCUUGAGAGAACUCGGGUGAAGGAACUAGGCAAAAUGGUGCCGUAACUUCGGGAGAAGGCACGCUGGCAUUAGGUAAAGAGACUUGCUCUCGGAGCUGAAGCCAGUCGCAGAUACCAGCUGGCUGCAACUGUUUAAUAAAAACACAGCACUGUGCAAACACGAAAGUGGACGUAUACGGUGUGACGCCUGCCCGGUGCUGGAAGGUUAAUUGAUGGGGUCAGCCGCAAGGCGAAGCUCUUGAUCGAAGCCCCAGUAAACGGCGGCCGUAACUAUAACGGUCCUAAGGUAGCGAAAUUCCUUGUCGGGUAAGUUCCGACCUGCACGAAUGGCGUAAUGAUGGCCAGGCUGUCUCCACCCGAGACUCAGUGAAAUUGAACUCGCUGUGAAGAUGCAGUGUACCCGCGGCAAGACGGAAAGACCCCGUGAACCUUUACUAUAGCUUGACACUGAACAUUGAGCCUUGAUGUGUAGGAUAGGUGGGAGGCAUUGAAGUGUGGACGCCAGUCUGCAUGGAGCCAACCUUGAAAUACCACCCUUUAAUGUUUGAUGUUCUAACUCGGCCCCAUAAUCUGGGGUGAGGACAGUGUCUGGUGGGUAGUUUGACUGGGGCGGUCUCCUCCCAAAGAGUAACGGAGGAGCACGAAGGUUAGCUAAUCACGGUCGGACAUCGUGAGGUUAGUGCAAAGGCAUAAGCUAGCUUGACUGCGAGAGUGACGGCUCGAGCAGGUACGAAAGUAGGUCUUAGUGAUCCGGUGGUUCUGAAUGGAAGGGCCAUCGCUCAACGGAUAAAAGGUACUCCGGGGAUAACAGGCUGAUACCGCCCAAGAGUUCAUAUCGACGGCGGUGUUUGGCACCUCGAUGUCGGCUCAUCACAUCCUGGGGCUGAAGUAGGUCCCAAGGGUAUGGCUGUUCGCCAUUUAAAGUGGUACGCGAGCUGGGUUUAGAACGUCGUGAGACAGUUCGGUCCCUAUCUGCCGUGGGCGUUGGAAGAUUGAGAGGGGCUGCUCCUAGUACGAGAGGACCGGAGUGGACGAAUCACUGGUGUUCGGGUUGUCAUGCCAAUGGCAUUGCCCGGUAGCUAAAUUCGGAAGAGAUAACCGCUGAAAGCAUCUAAGCGGGAAACUUGCCUCGAGAUGAGUCUUCCCUGGGGCUUUAAGCCCCCUGAAGGAACGUUAAAGACUAUGACGUUGAUAGGCUGGGUGUGUAAGUGCAGCGAUGCAUUGAGCUAACCAGUACUAAUGAUCCGU
RNAcentral lists this ribosomal RNA (1389 nucleotides) under Yersinia enterocolitica. Its description in RNAcentral is "partial 23S ribosomal RNA". It matches the Rfam family "Bacterial large subunit ribosomal RNA", at positions 1548 to 2912 of the family's 2925-position model. The record is from RNAcentral. Lineage: Bacteria; Pseudomonadati; Pseudomonadota; Gammaproteobacteria; Enterobacterales; Yersiniaceae.